ACUCCUACGGGAGGCAGCAGUGGGGAAUAUUGCGCAAUGGGGGAAACCCUGAUGCAGCAACGCCGCGUGAGUGAUGACGGUCUUCGGAUUGUAAAGCUCUGUCUUCAGGGACGAUAAUGACGGUACCUGAGGAGGAAGCCACGGCUAACUACGUGCCAGCAGCCGCGGUAAUACGUAGGUGGCGAGCGUUGUCCGGAUUUACUGGGCGUAAAGGGAGCGUAGGCGGAUUUUUAAGUGAGAUGUGAAAUACCCGGGCUCAACUUGGGUGCUGCAUUUCAAACUGGAAGUCUAGAGUGCAGGAGAGGAGAGUGGAAUUCCUAGUGUAGCGGUGAAAUACGUAGAGAUUAGGAAGAACACCAGUGGCGAAGGCGACUCUCUGGACUGUAACUGACGCUGAGGCUCGAAAGCGUGGGGAGCAAACAGGAUUAGAUACCCUGGUAGUC
RNAcentral lists this ribosomal RNA (443 nucleotides) under uncultured bacterium. RNAcentral's name for it is "bacterial SSU rRNA". It matches the Rfam family "Bacterial small subunit ribosomal RNA", at positions 335 to 795 of the family's 1533-position model. The record is from RNAcentral.